RNAcentral lists this ribosomal RNA (529 nucleotides) under uncultured bacterium. Its description in RNAcentral is "bacterial SSU rRNA". It matches the Rfam family "Bacterial small subunit ribosomal RNA", at positions 777 to 1304 of the family's 1533-position model. The record is from RNAcentral.
AAUAGAUACCCAGGUAGUCCACGCCGUAAACGAUGAGUGCUAAGUGUUAGAGGGUUUCCGCCCUUUAGUGCUGCAGCUAACGCAUUAAGCACUCCGCCUGGGAAGUACGGUCGCAAGACUGAAACUCAAAGGAAUUGACGGGGGCCCGCACAAGCGGUGGAGCAUGUGGUUUAAUUCGAAGCAACGCGAAGAACCUUACCAGGUCUUGACAUCCUCUGACAACUCUAGAGAUAGAGCGUUCCCCUUCGGGGGACAGAGUGACAGGUGGUGCAUGGUUGUCGUCAGCUCGUGUCGUGAGAUGUUGGGUUAAGUCCCGCAACGAGCGCAACCCUUGAUCUUAGUUGCCAGCAUUUAGUUGGGCACUCUAAGGUGACUGCCGGUGACAAACCGGAGGAAGGUGGGGAUGACGUCAAAUCAUCAUGCCCCUUAUGACCUGGGCUACACACGUGCUACAAUGGAUGGUACAAAGGGCUGCAAGACCGCAAGGUCAAGCCAAUCCCAUAAAACCAUUCUCAGUUCGGAUUGUAGG